This 388-nucleotide ribosomal RNA is filed under the name uncultured bacterium. Its description in RNAcentral is "bacterial SSU rRNA". It matches the Rfam family "Bacterial small subunit ribosomal RNA", at positions 29 to 419 of the family's 1533-position model. The record is from RNAcentral.
AUUGAACGCUGGCGGAAUGCUUUACACAUGCAAGUCGAACGGCAGCACGGGGGCAACCCUGGUGGCGAGUGGCGAACGGGUGAGUAACACAUCGGAACGUGCCCAGUCGUGGGGGAUAACGUAGCGAAAGCUACGCUAAUACCGCAUACGAACUCUGGUUGAAAGCGGGGACCGCAAGGCCUCGCGCGAUUGGAGCGGCCGAUGGCAGAUUAGGUAGUUGGUGGGGUAAAGGCNCACCAAGCCGACGAUCUGUAGCUGGUCUGAGAGGACGACCAGCCACACUGGGACUGAGACACGGCCCAGACUCCUACGGGAGGCAGCAGUGGGGAAUUUUGGACAAUGGGCGCAAGCCUGAUCCAGCCAUUCCGCGUGCAGGAUGAAGGCCCUC